ACCCGUAAAUCGGUCCCAACAGGCGUAGGGGCUAUUGUAAAUAUAGUGGAGAAAAGUGCUGGUUAUGGCGAUGAAUGUUGGCUGGUCAAAAGAUUGGGCUAUUGCUGAGAGAAGUCCGGACACCUGCCAUAACAAUGCUAAAACACGUUAUCGAGGCAGGUGGUGACUUGCCGCUGACUAGAUGGGCCCCUGAAACUGCCGUCGCGAAGACGACCAGGAGCAACAUCGGUGUGAGCGGCUCAGGGGUGUCGAGAGGUGUGCGCCGCUUUCUACCCAGUGGCUGUUAACAGCCACUGUGCCAACUCGCGUCUUAUGCAUCUUUCACUUCCACCCCUGGAGCAUAUAGCUCUAACGACUCCUCUCUGGACGGCCAAUGAAGGCAAGCCAGAGCUGAGAGUCCUGCGGGUCCCCUUGGGGUCCACACCGACCGACGAAGACACGCCGGAGACGGAGACCCUGACCGACUCUCGGGAGCACUCGGGUCCGUGGGGUCGUUACUCCCCAACAGCUCGCCACAAGCUGCCCUGCGGGCUUAUUAUUAUUAUUAUUAU
Molecule: long non-coding RNA, 551 nt
Organism: Cydia fagiglandana
Lineage: Eukaryota; Metazoa; Arthropoda; Insecta; Lepidoptera; Tortricidae
Exons: 2
Source: RefSeq, a predicted model, not a curated record